This 117-nucleotide ribosomal RNA is filed under the name Danio rerio (zebrafish). The record is from RNAcentral. Lineage: Eukaryota; Metazoa; Chordata; Actinopteri; Cypriniformes; Danionidae.
UGCCACAGCCAUAUCACCCUGCAGCUCAAGACUGGUUACUCACUACUGCUAAGCAGGGCUGAGCCUGGUCAGUACCUGGAUGGGAGACCACAUGGGAAAACUAGGUUGCUGUCGGAA